This 328-nucleotide small nuclear RNA is filed under the name Tursiops truncatus (common bottlenose dolphin). Its description in RNAcentral is "7SK RNA (ENSTTRG00000022760.1)". It matches the Rfam family "7SK RNA". From Rfam's summary of the family: 7SK was discovered as an abundant small nuclear RNA in the mid-70s but a possible function has only recently been suggested. Lineage: Eukaryota; Metazoa; Chordata; Mammalia; Artiodactyla; Delphinidae. RNAcentral also lists the same sequence under 1 other name. The record is from Rfam by way of RNAcentral.
GGGUGUGAAGGCAAUCUGGCUACGACAUCUGUCACCCCGUCGAUCGCCAGGGUUGAUUCAGCUGAUCUGGCUGGCUAGGUGGGCGUCCCCUUCCUCCCUCACUGCUCCAUGUCCAUCCCUCCUGAAGCCGCAUGCUCCGUUGAAGAUGGCAACCUUCCCAGGUAGAGGAGGACCACUCUUCAGUCAAGGGUAUAGGAGUAGCAGCAUUCCCCUGCUAGAACCCCCAAAUAAGCUCUCAAGGUCCAGUUACAGAACAUAGGGUAGUCAAGCUUCCAAGACUUCAGACACAUGCAAAUGAGGCACUACCUGUGGCACUCUGCCUCUCUAU